RNAcentral lists this unclassified non-coding RNA (386 nucleotides) under soil metagenome. RNAcentral describes it as "partial contains 5.8S ribosomal RNA, internal transcribed spacer 2, and large subunit ribosomal RNA". The stretch from base 1 to 120 matches the Rfam family "5.8S ribosomal RNA", at positions 35 to 154 of the family's 154-position model. The record is from RNAcentral.
GAUGAAGAACGCAGCGAAAUGCGAUAAGUAAUGUGAAUUGCAGAAUUCAGUGAAUCAUCGAAUCUUUGAACGCACCUUGCGCUCCUUGGCAUUCCGAGGAGCAUGCCUGUUUGAGUGUCAUUAAAUCAUCAACCACCUCAUCUUUUUGAGAGGGUUGGACUUGGAGGUUCUGCUGGCCCCUGCUCUCUGGGACCGGCUUCUCUGAAAUGCAUUAGCAGGGGCUCAUCUUGUGCAAUCUGCAGCCUUGUGUGAUAGUUAUCUACACUUGGCGCGGGUAGCAUUCACCCAGCUUCCAGCCGUCCGCUUGCGUGGACAACUACUUGACCACUUGACCUCGAAUCAGGUAGGAAUACCCGCUGAACUUAAGCAUAUCAAUAAGCGGAGGA